GCCCCGCUGCUGCCGCUCCCGGCUCGGCUCGGGCCCCGCCGCUGCUCGCAGGGCCCGGGCGGCCUCGCCUCAGGCGCAGCCCCAGGGUGCGGCGCCGGGCCCGGCUCCUGCCGAGGCGGGCGGGAAGCCCCGCGCCUCACGGCCCCCAGAACCCGCCCUGCCCCGGUCAGGUUGGCCCCGGCCUCCACACGAGCUGCAGGUGGCAAGGGGAGCGUCCCCACGGAGCUUGCUGAAAGCCUGAAGCUACUCGACGCGUUUCCAGCCCUGCAGUUGGCAGCUGCAGCCGGCGCAGGGCAUUAAUUCCCCUUUCGGAGCUACAGUCCAGCCUUACGCCUCCGUGCACCAUUUAUAAAGGCUCAUUAACGUAAUGUGUCUUUUAAAGUGCCUAAAUGUGCCUCAGCAAAACUACUUGCUACUAGAAGGAGUGACUGCUGUACAAUAUAAACUCGACACCCACUUCUGUCUCUUCUGAGACAUGGUUGUAGGGAGAAGGCCUGAGCUGGCAUGCGGUUCAAAGGGGGGCAUCUCACAGGAGAAAGGGUAACCAACUGGGGAAGGAAAAAAAAAAAGGAAAAAAAAGAUUGGGGUCUAGAAAACUGGUUGAGGUAGGGGAAAACAAAUAAAUAAGAUUUAACCUAGGGAGAAGACAGAGGAGAAACACAGAACACUUGGCAGAAGUGUUUUGCUUUUUAAAUUCUGCAGAAGCUUAAAAAACAAAGUUGCAGGUUAAAGUUAAACAUGGGACAAUUCAUUCUACCAAAACUGGUUAUAUGCAUAAAAAAAAAAAAAAAAAAAAGGAUGAAGAAGAAUAUUUGUUCUCAAGUAGCUGAUCAGAGACACCUGCAUCAAAGUUAAUAGCGGUUUACCUGUAGAGGAGCAUUCAGAAGAGUUAAGGUGCAUCAGUCACAACAUACAUGGAAAUAUACUGGAUCUUCAUGCAGAAGAAGCAGUCCUAGGCAGAUGCAAACCAACUUUAGAUCACAAACAGCUUUGGACUUGAGUGAGAAAACCCACAUUAGAAUUCGAAUGAUCCUAACUGCUUUGUUUUAACUUCUCUGGAUGCCCUUUUGGUGGCAAGUCCUCUGCUUUUAAUUAACUCUGUUUUUCAUGUGUGUGUGCGCCAGUCAAGUGCAUACCAUAAUUGAGAGAAUGGUCUUGCUGGCAAAAAAACAGACCCAUGAAAACAGGCCAUAGAAACAAAAGACAAGAGGAAAUAGUCCCCCCUCUGUGUGUCCUUUGUCCUUGGUUUCAUAACAAGCAAUGGAGCUCCCUCCAACUCCAGGUUUCUGCUCACAGACUACAGUAUUUUGGCAAUGGCCAUUUGGCUUAGUUCUCAAAUUACUGAUUAAUCUUCUAAAUUUCUUCACAUCAGAAACCCUCCUAAAGGACCUUCAAAGGCAAUUGAAUUGUAACAGUGCCACAGCUGCAUCUUUUAUAACCAUGCUUUUGUCCCACAUAUCACCAGAAGAAUUCUUAAAACCUUACUUUAGAAACAGAAAAUGGAGGGAAUCAUUGAAUAAUGCCAAUAAAUCUCUCCCUCCCCCAGCCUCUUGGGUCUGAGAAUCCAAAGGACAAAGACAGUCACGUAACAUGGCGAGGCAUGAGAGCAACACCUAGUUAAAAAAUUACCUUAUUUUUGGUGUAGCAUGGUCACAGGAUGUGUAAUUUUAGGUCACCUACAGCUGUAUCAGCAUAGAGAUGAUCUAGAAAUGUUCUCUAUUCUGCAGAUGGUGCAGCAGCAGCAGCUCCUGAGGGCACAGAGAAGAAAUUUAGAGGGUAUUCAUGCAUGUGCCCUGGAAGGGGUCCUUCUCAGAAGGUGCAUGAUCUGCUACAGAGGAAAAUCUCAAAACAUAAAAUGAUUCUAAAUAAUUCAUCAGUUACUGUCCUGUAACCUGUGGUCCAGAUUGUGAAGCAUCCUUUUGUACAUUUGCAGUCUUCACACAAUCUGCAAAAGAAGAGAUGCAGAUCCAGCAGCAAAACCACCACAUCUGUCUCGCCAACAUACAGUGCAAGGCAUCCGCACCACAGUCGUCUGAAGAGGUCCCGUAACAAGGACAAGAGCAGCUGUUCAGAUGAACUGUCACCAGGCUAACUGCUGUCUGACGAACUGUUCGUCUGCAUACUUCCAAAUGCUGAUUGAUAAAUGAGUUUUCUAAGUCUUCAAAAAAUACAUGUGGAAAAUAAAUGUCAUUUACAAACCUUCUGCAAA
This is a long non-coding RNA of Anas platyrhynchos (mallard), 2209 nucleotides long. RefSeq lists it as uncharacterized. Lineage: Eukaryota; Metazoa; Chordata; Aves; Anseriformes; Anatidae. The record is from RefSeq and is a predicted model, not a curated record.